Non-coding RNA from Recurvomyces mirabilis, 119 nucleotides. The record is from the annotation of a RefSeq genome assembly. NCBI's taxonomy places the organism in Eukaryota, Fungi, Ascomycota, Dothideomycetes, Mycosphaerellales, Teratosphaeriaceae.
ACAGAGUUGGCCGAGUGGUUAUGGCGCUAGUUUCAGGUUGUGAUACUAUGUUCGCUCAGCGGAUGUUCAUUACUCUACUAGUGGAGCAAUCUUCGUGGGUUCGAGUCCCACACUCUUCA